Molecule: long non-coding RNA, 890 nt
Organism: Columba livia (rock pigeon)
Lineage: Eukaryota; Metazoa; Chordata; Aves; Columbiformes; Columbidae
Exons: 3
Source: RefSeq, a predicted model, not a curated record
GAAGUGCUAGUCUACAGCUUUUGCUGCAACCACCCUUGAUCUGGAUGUCAAGUCUGUGGGCUGACUUCCUAGCUUGACUUGGGACCUGCUUUGUCUCUGUGGAUCUGCAGCUGGUGAUGCUCCUGGGAGAGAUGGGCUAGCAGAAUAAGGAGUGAGUAGCACAGGAGAAAAGCUUGCCUCACUGGACCAGUAGUUAUCUUGGAUCAGGCCUUGGUACCAAGUGAUACUUUACAGUUCCAGCAUGAACUGCAGAGCAGUUCCUCCAGCACAUCGGUUGUUCCUGCCCUGCAGACUCGAUGGCUGAUCCCUCACCGCACGCACCCUCCAGCCUGCCCACGUGUACUAACAAGGCUGGAAAGGGAGUUUUUUGGUGCCGUUGCUGUGAGCGGGACCUCACACUGGGACACCUGCGUCACUGCCACAGGCAAGCGAUGGCAAGAUUAUCUCCCUGUAAGAAGAGGGUAGCUGGGUGAAAAGGCCUCUGGAAGGAGAAGGGAUGCUCUUUCCCUUAGGGAGCAACUGAAUCUGCCCAAAGGAGAGAGGCGUCUGGAUUACAGGGUGGAUCAGAGGGAGUGGCAGCAAGGCUUUUGGCAAGGCAGCAAUCUGCAGCACAGCGAGGAAGUGAGACACUGCUGAGAGAAGCAGCAAGCACACUCCAAGCUCUGUGCUGAUGUCAGAGAAAACCUCUCAGAGAGCUGAAGGGACUCUGCAGGUAGCUGCAACCCACCAAAAAAAAUCAAAAAAAAUCCAAAAUAUAGCCUGAGAGUGAUGGCCUGCCUUUCCAGGAUACGAUGGGCAGGGAGAGGUUUGAUUAUAAGCCUUUUACAACUACUCCUCUGUCUUGCUUAUUGUCUUACCUGCUUACUUGGCAUCUCAUGAUCUAAACAGUC